GGCCUAACACAUGCAGUCGGGCGGUAACAGGGAGAAGCUUGCUUCUCUGCUGACGAGCGGCGGACGGGUGAGUAAUGUAUGGGGAUCUGCCUGAUGGCGGGGGAUAACUACUGGAAACGGUAGCUAAUACCGCAUAAUGUCUACGGACCAAAGCGGGGGACCUCCGGGCCUCGCGCCAUCAGAUGAACCCAUAUGGGAUUAGCUUGUAGGUGAGGUAACGGCUCACCUAGGCGACGAUCCCUAGCUGGUCUGAGAGGAUGAUCAGCCACACUGGGACUGAGACACGGCCCAGACUCCUACGGGAGGCAGCAGUGGGGAAUAUUGCACAAUGGGCGCAAGCCUGAUGCAGCCAUGCCGCGUGUAUGAAGAAGGCCUUCGGGUUGUAAAGUACUUUCAGUCGGGAGGAAGGUGGUAAGGUUAAUAACCUUAUCAAUUGACGUUACCGACAGAAGAAGCACCGGCUAACUCCGUGCCAGCAGCCGCGGUAAUACGGAGGGUGCAAGCGUUAAUCGGAAUUACUGGGCGUAAAGCGCACGCAGGCGGUUGAUUGAGUCAGAUGUGAAAUCCCCGGGCUUAACCCGGGAAUUGCAUCUGAUACUGGUCAGCUAGAGUCUUGUAGAGGGGGGUAGAAUUCCAUGUGUAGCGGUGAAAUGCGUAGAGAUGUGGAGGAAUACCGGUGGCGAAGGCCGCCCCCUGGACACAGACUGACGCUCAUGUGCGACAGCCUGUGGAGCAGACACGAUUAUAUACCCUGGUAGUCCACGCUGUAAACGAUGUCUACUUGGAGGUUGUGCCCUUGAGGCGUGGCUUCCGGAGCUAACGCGUUAAGUCGACCGCCUGGAGGAGUACGGCCGCAACGUUGAGACUCACAUGAAUUGACAGUGGCCCGCACAAGCGGUGUAACAUGUGGUUUAAUUCGAUGCAACGCGAAGAACCUUACCUACUCUUGACAUCCGGAAAACUUUGUAACAGAUGCUUUUGUGCCUUCGGAAACUCUUAGACAAGGGCCUGCAUCUUUGUCAUCUCCUCCCGGAUGGGAAAAUGUUUGAUUAACUCCCGGAACUAUUUCAACCCUUAUCCCUUUGUUGCCCACCGCUGAAUUGCCAGUGAACCCAAAAGAAACCUCCCCUGCAAACACCCG
This 1141-nucleotide ribosomal RNA is filed under the name Morganella morganii. RNAcentral describes it as "bacterial SSU rRNA". It matches the Rfam family "Bacterial small subunit ribosomal RNA", at positions 45 to 1165 of the family's 1533-position model. Lineage: Bacteria; Pseudomonadati; Pseudomonadota; Gammaproteobacteria; Enterobacterales; Morganellaceae. The record is from RNAcentral.